RNAcentral lists this ribosomal RNA (252 nucleotides) under uncultured bacterium. Its description in RNAcentral is "partial 16S ribosomal RNA". It matches the Rfam family "Bacterial small subunit ribosomal RNA", at positions 524 to 776 of the family's 1533-position model. The record is from RNAcentral.
UACGUAGGUGGCAAGCGUUGUCCGGAUUUACUGGGCGUAAAGAGCGCGCAGGCGGUCGUUCAAGUCGCGUGUGAAAGCCCCCGGCUCAACUGGGAGGGUCACGCGAUACUGAUCGACUCGAAGGCAGGAGAGGGUAGUGGAAUUCCCGGUGUAGUGGUGAAAUGCGUAGAUAUCGGGAGGAACAUCCGUGGCGAAGGCGACUACCUGGACCAGCACUGACACUGAGGCACGAAAGCGUGGGGAGCAAACAGG